ACUUAUCCUUUCUGUAGCUGCCUCUGCCCCAGUUUUGGAAGGGUGUGUUUGUGGCGUGACCAUGCUGGGACAUAGGGGAGCUGUGAUGGGCUCCUGGGGGGCUUCAAUUCUGGGACUCUGUACCCAAAGACAGGGGUCUGACGCCAGCAGGAUGGCUCCAGCUAACUUCUGGGACUGCUGCCUCUUCCCCUUCACUCGUUCGAAAUGUCACAUGGAGGGAGAGGGAAAGGGGAACGAUGAAUUUCUCCAACCAUCCCGUCCCACUGGAAAGGCUGGCUCUGCUGUCCUCUCCCCGAGCAUCUUGGGAGCCGCGGUGACGGUCCGCGGCUGUUUUGAGGCUGGGCUGUGAGAUCAGAGCACAAACCAGUUCUUCUUCACCUUUCAUCAUCGGGGCGGGAGCAGGGCCUUGCUCUGUGUGUGCUGCUUGGCGUUGAGCUGAGGGCAGAGGGUUCCAUCCCAGGCAGAGCUGCCCCAGGCAUGGCCAGGAUCCUCAGCAGGGUCAGAAGUGGCUGCAGUGAAAAUGGCAAUUGCCCCUAAUUUGUUGGUAAUAAGACUCGGCCUCUCCCCGUGGCCUGGGCCAAGGUGUGCUGAUUGCUGGAGAAGGGUGCCCGGUCCCUGCCCGGGUAAGCUUGCCCUGCAAAGCUGUGAGGGCAGUGAGAAAACACCCUCGGAAGCACUGAGAAACAUUCCGUGCCAGAUGAGCGCUAGGAAAGAGAACAACCCUUGCCAAAGGCCAGCCAGAAAGUGCUUUGCUGCGGCCUGGCAAGGCAGACAGGGACCCAAAAUGCUCUAGCAAAGCAGGUGGGACACCCUCUCACACUGCAGACCCACAGACUUGGAGUGCAGCUGAGGCAGCAGGGAGGGAAGUGGCAAGGCAUGGAACAACAGGUCCCAGCAGCGAGGUGAGUCACAGCUGCAGCGGGGCCGGCUCUAUGCAGGCACCUGCCAGCAGGACUGGGGCCCUGGGGGGGACAGGGUUGGAGCUGGGGGCUCUUUCGUGGUGAGAGUGGUGGGUUUGGAGAUGGCGCUAGGAUGUGGAUACUAAGGAUGGAAUGCUACUCAGGUGCUCUGGGGUCAGGGUUUUGAGGGGCAGCAAGGUGGUACUGGAUCUUUCCUCCCUGGGAAUGUGAACACUGAUGAUUCCACUGAGGGAUGUACUCAGGGCUGGUAUCUGACCCUCGCUGUAGGGUGCUGGGCUGUGUCCCGUCCCGAG
Molecule: long non-coding RNA, 1213 nt
Organism: Gallus gallus (chicken)
Lineage: Eukaryota; Metazoa; Chordata; Aves; Galliformes; Phasianidae
Source: Ensembl